Molecule: ribosomal RNA, 429 nt
Filed under: Acidobacteriota bacterium
Lineage: Bacteria; Pseudomonadati; Acidobacteriota
Description: Acidobacteria bacterium partial 16S ribosomal RNA
Rfam family: Bacterial small subunit ribosomal RNA
Source: RNAcentral
UGGGGAAUUUUGGACAAUGGGGGAAACCCUGAUCCAGCCAUCCCGCGUGUGCGAUGAAGGCCUUCGGGUUGUAAAGCACUUUUGGCAGGAAAGAAACGUCAUGGGUUAAUACCCCGUGAAACUGACGGUACCUGCAGAAUAAGCACCGGCUAACUACGUGCCAGCAGCCGCGGUAAUACGUAGGGUGCAAGCGUUAAUCGGAAUUACUGGGCGUAAAGCGUGCGCAGGCGGUUCGGAAAGAAAGAUGUGAAAUCCCAGAGCUCAACUUUGGAACUGCAUUUGUAACUACCGGGCUAGAGUGUGUCAGAGGGAGGUGGAAUUCCGCGUGUAGCAGUGAAAUGCGUAGAUAUGCGGAGGAAAACCGAUGGCGAAGGCAGCCUCCUGGGAUAACACUGACGCUAAUGCACGAAAGCGUGGGGAGCAAACAGG